UUUUUUUUUUUUUUUUGGUCUAGCUUCUUUUGCUUAGCAUAAUAUUUUGAGAUAGAUUCCAUGUUAUUGCAAGUACCACUAAUUUCUUCCUUUUCAUUGCUGAGUGUUAUCCCAUUGAAUAAAUAUACCACAAUUUAUUUCUCCAUUCACCCGUCAGUGGACAUGUAGGUUGGGUCCAGUUUUUAGUUAUUAUGGAUAAAGCUACUAGGAACAGACAAAUGCUUAUAUGAACAUAUAUAUAUAUCCUGGGUAAAUACCCAGGAGUGAGAAUGCUAUAUAGCAUAAUUCAAGUAUAUAUUACUAUAUAAGAAGUGGGCUUGUCAUCCAUCAACCAAAUCUUUCCCUAUAUCUUCAACCUCUUCUCUCUGUGUUCCAGUUACCUUCUUCCUUCAGCAAUAUUAUAGGACCAAAAGGGGAUGUAGAACAUUCUGUGUGCUCUCAUUGCUCUCUUCAAACCACUUCUCCUCUCUCAUUCCCUCCAGGUCCUCCUGAGGUGCAGCCCAUCAAACAACCCUACUUUCUACAACACGUCCAUGUUGCUUUCAUCCAACACCCUCUUGAUCUCUGCUCCUAUCUCGUUGAAGGUUUUAAUGCCUGUGUCCCUGUCUCCUCUACCAUUACUCUCGUCACCAUAUAGUUUUCAUUCCACAAAAUUUACGGAGGGCUUAUUUUGUGUCAGGCGCAGCUCUCGCUCCUGGGAAUAUAGCAAUAGACAAAAGAGGACCAUUGAGGAGAUGGAUAGAUGGAUAGAUACACACACACACAUCUGUAUAUACGCAUUAUACUUUUCUGAGAAAAAUAAAGCUGAAAGGGGAGUAGGCACCUCAUUGGGAGGUGAGAGCUAAAACUGCUUUCAUUUUUAAUAGGAUGUUAAAAAGGGUACCGAGGGGAUGACAGCUGGGCAAGGCCAUAGGUGAUAAAGAAGGUAAUGCAAAUGUAUGGGGAAAGAGAGUUUCAGGCAAAAUCAACCACAAACACAAAAUGUUUGCGUCUGGACGAUGCCUACUGUGUUCCAGAAACAGUGGGAAGGCCAGUGUGGCUGGGGCCGAGUGAGCAAAAAGGAUACGGAAAAGGAGGUCAGGGAGAUGAAGGAAGGAUGCAAUCAGUGGACCAUGGUAAGGAUUUGAAAGUUAGUUUAGGUGGGAUGUAAAGCCACUGGUGGGUUUUGAGGAGAGGACCCACAUGAUUAGUCUUAUACUUGUAAAGCUUUGAUUCAGUCUACGUUGAGAAUAAAAGAUUACUGACCAGUUGGCAAGUUAAUGCAAUAAUUUGGGAGACAGAUAAUUCAGGUAAUAGUGGUAGGAGUUGUACAUAUUUUUUAGGUAUAGUCACCAAUAUUUGUUGAGUAAUUGAAAAUCGGGUGUGAAGAUAAAAAGUUAUGCUCCAAGAUUUGGUGCAUGGGAAAAGGAGAAGUAUGGAGAUACCAUCAACUUUGGUGGAGAAAAAUGCAAGAGGAGCACAUUUGGGGGGUGAAAUUGGGAACCCAGCUUUAGAUGGCUUUUCUUGUCUGAGUGUAACACUCUGACUUCCCGGUUUCUUGUCACCUUCAUCCCAGGAAUCUCACUCUCUGCUCUGCUUAUGGUGCUCAUUCCUAGGGUGUGGUUCUCAAGGUUAUUUCCUGGAUUUUGUCAUCACCAAUUAUCACUUCACCUUCAAAGGACUGAUUCCAAGCAUCCAGCUCUCUUGUUACCACCGUGUAAUCAGCUCACACUAUUUCCCUCUCCUUCCCCUUCUCUUUGGCCCCACUGGGAAAUUCUCUCCAUUGACCUCACAACAGUGUUGCUAUCGUCCUGUGCCACUCUUAAAGCUUCCACAGGCUUCCUUGCCCACUUUAGAUGCCUGCAUGGUCCACUAUCAUUAUUAUUUAUUUAGCUCACUUUCUCUUCCUUCUCCUGUCAUACUCCACAUGACAAAACUUUGGUCCUGUUUAAUCCCAGUUUCCCCACUGCUCAAUUAUUAGACGAGUAUGGCUGCUGAAAAACUCACUGGUGUGCUGAAUAGUCUCACUUUAAACUUAUGGUCACAACUAUCUGAUAGCCACUCAGCCCUGCUUACCAACCUUAAUUUAUUCCCUUAAUAAAUUUGCUUGUUUACUCUUUGAGAUGAUCAUUUCAGGUCUUUUCAGAUCUUUUCAAAGAUGUUAAUUCCCCCUUUUUUCCCCCUAUUUUCAACUGAAGGUCAUGCUUCUUAUUAAACUGAGAAAAAAAGAAGUAGCUAUAGCCUUCCUCAUUUCUCUAACCUCAAUUCUAUCACCCUGUCUGUGUUUAUACCUGUAUAUUUCGACUUGCCUCUAAUCCGUGUGGAUAAACAUCUCUGUUCCUGUCUGAAGCCACUUCUCUGAACUGGAUUCUUUUUCUUCUCAGCUAUUAAAGAUUUUUGUUCUUCUGAUUAUGUUUUCUCCCAACUGAAUCUUUAUCCUCUCAUCUACUGGACUUUUCCUGACAUCUUUCAAGCAUGCAAUAAUAAUAAUAAUAAUAAAUCCUUAAAAAAAGUUCCCAGAAUUCCUGUCAUGGCUCAGCAGAAACAAAUCUGACCAGUAUCCAUGAGGAUGCAGGUUUGAUCCCUGGCCUCGUCCAAUGGGUUAAGGAUCCAGCAUUGCUGUGAGCUGUGGUCAAAGUUGCAGUUGCAGCUCAGAUCUUGAGUUGCUGUGGCUGUGGUGUAGGCCUGCAGCUACAGCUCUGAUUCUACCCCUAGCUUGGGAACCCCCAUACACUGUGGGUACUGCCCUAAAAAAAAAAUUGAAAAAAACAAAACCAAACCAAAAAAAUUUCCUCUUACCAUACAUUUCCUUUUAGCUAUUUACCCUUAAUUCAUUUUGACCAGAAACUUUCCCAUCAAGCUCCUGAAACCAUUCUCUUCAAAAUCAUUAACAACUUCCAUCUUGCCAACUUCAAUGGCCAAUUUUCUGACUCACUCAAAAUACCCACAGCAGUUGACACAGUUAGUUUCCCUUUCCUUUUUUUUUUUUUU
RNAcentral lists this long non-coding RNA (2970 nucleotides) under Sus scrofa (pig). RNAcentral describes it as "lncRNA (ENSSSCG00015042547.1)". The record is from RNAcentral. Lineage: Eukaryota; Metazoa; Chordata; Mammalia; Artiodactyla; Suidae.